GAGUGAACGCUGGCGGUAGGCCUACCACAUGCAAGUCGAACGGCAGCACAGUAAGAGCUUGCUCUUACGGGUGGCGAGUGGCGGACGGGUGAGGAAUACAUCGGAAUCUACUUUUUCGUGGGGGAUAACGUAGGGAAACUUACGCUAAUACCGCAUACGACCUACGGGUGAAAGCAGGGGAUCUUCGGACCUUGCGCGAUUGAAUGAGCCGAUGUCGGAUUAGCUAGUUGGCGGGGUAAAGGCCCACCAAGGCGACGAUCCGUAGCUGGUCUGAGAGGAUGAUCAGCCACACUGGGACUGAGACACGGUCCAGACUCCUACGGGAGGCAGCAGUGGGGAAUAUUGGACAAUGGGCGCAAGCCUGAUCCAGCCAUACCGCGUGGGUGAAGAAGGCCUUCGGGUUGUAAAGCCCUUUUGUUGGGAAAGAAAAGCAGCAGGUUAAUACCCCGCUGUUCUGACGGUACCCAAAGAAUAAGCACCGGCUAACUUCGUG
Molecule: ribosomal RNA, 493 nt
Filed under: uncultured bacterium
Lineage: Bacteria
Description: partial 16S ribosomal RNA
Rfam family: Bacterial small subunit ribosomal RNA
Source: RNAcentral